This 69-nucleotide transfer RNA is filed under the name Steatornis caripensis (oilbird). RNAcentral describes it as "tRNA-Glu". It matches the Rfam family "tRNA". From Rfam's summary of the family: Transfer RNA (tRNA) molecules are approximately 80 nucleotides in length. Their secondary structure includes four short double-helical elements and three loops (D, anti-codon, and T loops). The record is from RNAcentral. Lineage: Eukaryota; Metazoa; Chordata; Aves; Caprimulgiformes; Steatornithidae.
GUUUUUGUAGUUGAAAUACAACGGUGGCUUUUCAAGCCACAGGUCUUGGAGAAAAGCCAAGCAGAAAUU